UACGUAGGGGGCAAGCGUUGUCCGGAAUCAUUGGGCGUAAAGCGCGUGUAGGCGGUCCGGUAAGUCCGCUGUGAAAGUCGGGGGCUCAACCCUCGAAAGCCGGUGGAAACUGUCGGGCUAGAGUACGGAAGAGGCGAGUGGAAUUCCUGGUGUAGCGGUGAAAUGCGCAGAUAUCAGGAGGAACACCAAUUGCGAAGGCAGCUCGCUGGGACGUUACUGACGCUGAGACGCGAAAGCGUGGGGAGCAAACAGG
RNAcentral lists this ribosomal RNA (253 nucleotides) under uncultured bacterium. RNAcentral describes it as "partial 16S ribosomal RNA". It matches the Rfam family "Bacterial small subunit ribosomal RNA", at positions 524 to 776 of the family's 1533-position model. The record is from RNAcentral.